UCGCUUCUACCGAUUGAAUGAUCCGGUGAAGCCUCGGGAUUGUGACUAGUUCCCUUCAUUGGGGAUUGGUCGCGAGAACUUGUCUAAACCUUAUCAUUUAGAGGAAGGUG
Molecule: ribosomal RNA, 110 nt
Filed under: uncultured eukaryote
Lineage: Eukaryota
Description: partial small subunit ribosomal RNA
Rfam family: Eukaryotic small subunit ribosomal RNA
Source: RNAcentral